GAUGAACGCUGGCGGCGUGCCUAAUACAUGCAAGUCGAGCGAACAGACGAGGAGCUUGCUCCUCUGACGUUAGCGGCGGACGGGUGAGUAACACGUGGAUAACCUACCUAUAAGACUGGGAUAACUUCGGGAAACCGGAGCUAAUACCGGAUAAUAUAUUGAACCGCAUGGUUCAAUAGUGAAAGACGGUUUUGCUGUUACUUAUAGAUGGAUCCGCGCCGCAUUAGCUAGUUGGUAAGGUAACGGCUUACCAAGGCAACGAUGCGUAGCCGACCUGAGAGGGUGAUCGGCCACACUGGAACUGAGACACGGUCCAGACUCCUACGGGAGGCAGCAGUAGGGAAUCUUGCGCAAUGGGCGAAAGCUUGACGGAGCAACGCCGCGUGAGUGAUGAAGGUCUUCGGAUCGUAAAGCUCUGUUAUUAGGGAAGAACAAAUGUGUAAGUAACUAUGCACGUCUUGACGGUACCUAAUCAGAAAGCCACGGCUAACUACGUG
Molecule: ribosomal RNA, 497 nt
Filed under: uncultured bacterium
Lineage: Bacteria
Description: partial 16S ribosomal RNA
Rfam family: Bacterial small subunit ribosomal RNA
Source: RNAcentral